GACGAACGCUGGCGGCGUGCUUAACACAUGCAAGUCGAACGGAGCACCCUUGAUUGAGGUUUCGGCCAAAUGAUAGGAAUGCUUAGUGGCGGACUGGUGAGUAACGCGUGAGGAACCUGCCUUUCAGAGGGGGACAACAGUUGGAAACGACUGCUAAUACCGCAUGACGCAUUUUGAUCGCAUGGUCGAAAUGCCAAAGAUUUAUCGCUGAAAGAUGGCCUCGCGUCUGAUUAGAUAGUUGGCGGGGUAACGGCCCACCAAGUCGACGAUCAGUAGCCGGACUGAGAGGUUGACCGGCCACAUUGGGACUGAGAUACGGCCCAGACUCCUACGGGAGGCAGCAGUGGGGAAUAUUGGGCAAUGGGCGCAAGCCUGACCCAGCAACGCCGCGUGAAGGAAGAAGGCUUUCGGGUUGUAAACUUCUUUUAAGUGGGAAGAGCAGAAGACGGUACCACUUGAAUAAGCCACGGCUAACUACGUGCCAGCAGCCGCGGUAAUACGUAGGUGGCAAGCGUUGUCCGGAUUUACUGGGUGUAAAGGGCGUGCAGCCGGGCAUGCAAGUCAGAUGUGAAAUCUCAGGGCUUAACCCUGAAACUGCAUUUGAAACUGUAUGUCUUGAGUGCCGGAGAGGUAAUCGGAAUUCCUUGUGUAGCGGUGAAAUGCGUAGAUAUAAGGAAGAACACCAGUGGCGAAGGCGGCUGUCUGGUCUGUAACUGACGCUGAGGCUCGAAAGCAUGGGUAGCGAAC
RNAcentral lists this ribosomal RNA (747 nucleotides) under uncultured Lachnospiraceae bacterium. RNAcentral's name for it is "bacterial SSU rRNA". It matches the Rfam family "Bacterial small subunit ribosomal RNA", at positions 28 to 773 of the family's 1533-position model. Lineage: Bacteria; Bacillati; Bacillota; Clostridia; Lachnospirales; Lachnospiraceae. The record is from RNAcentral.